UAGACUGAGGCCCGCUGGAUAGGGCUGUUAGUUGUUAACUAGUGAUUCGCGGGAUCGAAGCCCGUCAGUCUAG
Molecule: transfer RNA, 73 nt
Filed under: Geckolepis sp. EEG-2007-1
Lineage: Eukaryota; Metazoa; Chordata; Lepidosauria; Squamata; Gekkonidae
Description: tRNA-Asn
Source: RNAcentral